This is a long non-coding RNA of Astatotilapia calliptera (eastern happy), 4319 nucleotides long. NCBI's taxonomy places the organism in Eukaryota, Metazoa, Chordata, Actinopteri, Cichliformes, Cichlidae. The record is from Ensembl.
GUUUAGAGUAGAGAUGGCACGAUACCACUUUUUUAUGUCCGAUACCGAUAUCGAUAUCAUAAAUUUGGAUAUCUGCCGAUACCGAUAUGAAUCCGAUAUAGUGUUUUUUAACCAACAAAACUGUUUUUUAAAAUAUCUUGCUGCAUUUUGCAAGUCUGCAAGUUCAUACUCAAGUUUAAAACAACAACUACACUAAAGCUAUUCUGUUAUACCUGUAUACAAAAAAAUAUUUCAUAGUUCAGCAAUACUGAUCAAUCUAAUAAACUUAAACCUACACCAUCCUCCCUAUUCUGGUAUUUUAAAGAGUACUUAGUGUAAAUAUUAAGCAACCUAACUAAUAGGGUUCCAACUCCCAGCAACAACAAAAAUAAAUAAAUAAAAAAUAGGGAACCACCCCUCACGCUCCACCUCAUGAUGCUUAAUCGACGUAAUCAACCUUAAUUUGAUGCAGUGCGAAAAAAAAUGCACAGAAAUCAAUUAUUUUUCAAGAAAUAUUAAAUAGAUUCAACAUCUUUCUUCAACAAAAUUGCAGACUGCACAGAUGGUACCUUCCCAAAGUAAAGAGUACUAUAGCUUACUAGGGUAUAUAUAUUAGACUUAAUAGUCACUAUAUACAGUAAUUGACUUCUAUUCAUUUUACAUCAAAUUAAAACUUUGGCUGUCAGAUAAUUAUUUAUUAAAAGCUCGACAUUUUAAAUGAGAAUAAGAAAGAAAAGUAUGUCUUUGUGCCCCUUUUCCCUGUUCAUGCCCUAUCGGCCCCCCUGGCUAAACUUUGCUAGAUCCGCCCCUGCACAGUUACCAGCCGUCAGCUAUGUAGAAAAAGAUCCUUGAGUAGAAAGUAAUAUUAAAUAAAUUGUAACAACAGCUUAUCAAGCUUAAACGUUCUGCUGUUGUUCAGCCGCUGGUUUCCUCUUUCUGGUGCAAAGUGGGCCAAAAACAAACAAGAGAGACGUACUCCCGACAGAAAAGCCGAUCAGCUGAUCAUUAAGCAGUUUCAUGAUUGAAGUAGCAGCCGGAGAGCGAGAGGCAGUCGCUCGUUAAGCUUAACGGAGGAAUGCUUUACAAACAUUCAGAGAUGGACUUACACACUGUCGGAGAUGAAAUGCUGGGUUGCUAGCGAAGCUCCAAAUGCUAUCCAGACCACCGACAGGUCCCGCAUGCCACAGCCGCUCUAUCACGUGAUGCAUACUGCUCCGACGUGCUAACGUUCUGAGGUGAGUUACGGCGUGUUGCAAGUUUUGUGAGGUGCUUUCGUGAUAUUUAAUGGAUCGGAUUACAUUUUUUAUUUUUCUCCGAUAUCCGAUCCAGUAAUUUAGGUCAGUAUCGGACCGAUACCGAUACGUAAUAUCGGAUCGGUCCAUCUCUAGUUUAGAGUCAGUAAAACUGUCCUCCUGCAGCUGCUGUCUCUGGUUCCUGUGAACAGUGAGAGGGACACAGUGAGGCGGGCGGUGUCCCUGUGUAGAGCCCUGGGUGGAGAGCUGGAUUUCAGUCACAGCACGCUGGAUCAGAGGGCCUGUGGGUCUUUGGUCCAGAUGCUGGACUCGUGUGAAGGGCUGACAGAGCUGGACCUCAGUCACUGUCAGCUCACUGACCAGCUGCUGCUCCCUCUCAUCACACAUCUGCACAAAGUCCAAGUCCUGGAUCUGAGUCACAAUCAGAUCACUGAUGCUUCGACUGAUGUGUUACUGCAGCUGCUCUCCAUCAACCCCUCCAUCGACUGUGUGCGACUCUACAGCAACAACAUCGUGCACAGAGCAGCCUUCAAGGAACACAAGCAGUGUGAGAUCUGGUGAAGCACUCGUCACCAUCAUAUCAUCAUGAACAUCAUCAACAUCAUCAUUAUCUGGGAUUCACUGGUUUCCUCUGUUCUUGUCAUCAUUACAUGAAAAUAUUGGGUGGAGUGGGAGCACUGAUACUGUGUUCAUGGACUCAGUGUAAUGUUGUAGUGUACGACACAUUGACAUUAGAUCAGAUGGGUUUUGAAGACCAUCUUGAUUUUUUUUCUUUUUUCUACAAUGACUUGAAGACAGUUUAUAUGGAGACAACGAGCAGCCAACAGUGUUUGUUUCAAUUACCCACUGUUGCUUUUGUUUCUGAGCUACUGCAGAUUUUUCUUUGAUGAAGGUCAGAUGUCUAACUGGUCAUGUGAUGAUGUAAAAGUCCUGGGUCUUGGACCCACAAUUUUGAGUUUUGCAUUCUCGGUCUAAUCUUUUGGAUUUCAAGUCUUUAUUUCCCCAUGCAGUUACUUCCUGUUUUAUUUUGAUAGUCAUUUGUCUGUGUUCCUUUUGUUUGCUUGUCCUGAUUGGUUUUAGCUGUGUCUCAUUCCCUUAACUAUGGAACGCCAGGACUGCCAUAAUGAAUUAAUUAAAUACACCAUUAAAUAAUUAAUUAAAUGUGUCAAUAAUUAAAUAAAAUUGGAAUUAAUUAAUUAAAUAAAUUGUUAUGACACAUGUAAUUAAUUAAUUAUUAACACAUUUAAUUAAUUAUUUAAUGAUAUAUUUAUUUAUUUCAUUUUGGCAGUCCUGGCGCCUGGCUCUCGAAAUAAUUUUAUCUGUCAGCCUCACCCAUCAAACUUAGGGGGCGGGGUUAACGCUGCCCAUGCAGCCUCUCUAACAUUUGAUUGGUUGCCGUGCAAAGUAAGUCAAAACAGGUCGAUCCUAGAUAAUCGAUUGCUUGUGUAGACUUGGGGCAGCCAGGUAUCCCAGAAUGCAGAUCAAAUCACAGGCAGCAAUGGUGGUGGUUUAGUUUUUCUGUCACCAGCUACACUUUUAACAGUGUUUUAGCUGCGAAUGUCGCGACGUAUGUCUGGUCAGGUUGUCAACAUAGAACAUGUUUGCAAAAGUGCUCAGAUGUUUUCAGAGAUUUCACUAGCUCUGCUAACAAUUAGCAUGCAGAGUGCACCCAGGGGGUUACGUUAACCGGUUUGUUUACAUAUUCCACUCUCCGUGUUCCACAUGUUGCAUUCGCAGAUUCUCAUUUUCACCGAACGAUCGUCUCUUUCCGCCUGGUCUUGUGUCUCUGUGCUUCUGUAACAUAAAGAACGAGCUGACAUUUUUCUCACGAAACCAGCGAUCAGCUCAACAGACCCUCAGUUUACCUGCAUGCAUCCUCCUCCUCAUCUGUCAGCUGUUUAACACCUGCUGCUAAUUCAAGAAACACGCCUACGUUACCUGGUGAUAGUCACAGUUUAACUGGGCAGUCGGUGCUCGAUAUAAAGCAAUGUCAGCGCAUUUUUCUGCACAAGAUAAGUAAAUAUAGUAUUUUCCCCGAGCGCAGAGCUGCUGGAGCUUGUUUCCUUACAGAGCACUUUUUAGGCGAACAGCUUCAUCAGCGGCUGAUGUCCAAUCACCGGCACACAGCUUUGAAACCUCAGCUGAGUUUUAGCUCUCAGUGGUUAAAGGAGCUUGCAAAGAAAAGCGUCUGGACUUCUUUAAGUUGCUUGAAGACGUUUCACCUCUCAUCCGAGAAGCUUCUUCAGUUCUAAGGUCAAAUGGUGGAGAGUCCCAGAUAUAAACCUAGUGGGAGUAACCCCCCACAGAGGGACAAAAGGACCCCCUGAUGAUCCUCUAAUCGCCUGGGCCAAGGUGUGAAACUGGGUGUGGGUCCCAAUCAGCCAGAGUUUCGGGUGUGUUCAUUGUGAAACCUGGCCCCACCUUAUCAUGCGAAUUCCUGAGAUCAGAUGGCCCAGGAUGUGAGUGGGCGUUAAGGCAUCUGGGAAGGGAUCUCAAAACUGGAUUAUAGAUGGCAGAGAGUUGGUGUCGUAUAAGCGGCCGCCAAGGAGUGAGCCGGUGUGUACCUGGACGCCCAUCCCCGGACACAAAGAACCACCAACGCACCGAUGUCUGAGGGAGUCUGCCACUGGCAGGGGAAGUGGUGGUAGGGGGAGAUAGGCCUCCAAACCUUGGAGGGCCUAAGAUGUCCCCAGAGAGGUGGCGCCUGACACCCAACCUGACAUAUAGACACAGACAUACAGGCACACACAUAUACAAACAUCCAUUCCCACCCUCAUGCUCUCAUAUGCACUUACUCCACACUCAACCAACGUGGAGACAGACAUAAAGAGAUGCUGUACACACGAUCACACUCCCCAAGCAUACUCUACAAACCGGGUCUAGGUACCCUUGCCACUGGAGGGGGGAACUGCACCCAGACCCAGGUGGUGUUACCCUUUUCCCUGCGGUGGGGGGAGGCAGACCGCAUCUCUUCAAGAUGAGAGCCAGACGCCAGGACUGCCAAAAUGAAAUAAAUAAAUAUAUCAUUAAAUAAUUAAUUAAAUGUGUCAAUAAUAAAUUAAAUGUGUCAAUAAUUAAUUAAAUGUG